AGCGAAGUAGCUGAUUUCACACUGUCGAGAAAAGUCUCUAUCGAGGUUAAAGGCGCCCGUACCUCAAACCGACACAGGUGGGUGAGGAGAGUAUCCUAAGGCCAGCCAGAGAACUGUUGUUAAGGAACUCGGCAAAAUGACCCCGUAACUUAGGGAGAAGGGGUGCCAUCAUCACGAUGGCCGCAGAGAAUAGGCCCAAGCGACUGUUUACCAAAAACACAGGUUUCUGCUAAGUCGCAAGACGAUGUAUAGGAGCUGACGCCUGCCCGGUGCUGGAAGGUUAAGGGGAUCUGUUAGGAGCAAUCCGAAGCAGUGAACUUAAGCCCCAGUAAACGGCGGCCGUAACUAUAACGGUCCUAAGGUAGCGAUAUUCCUUGUCGGGUAAGUUCCGACCCGCACGAAAGGCGUAACGAUUUGGGCACUGUCUCAACAACAGACUGGGUGAAAUUGUAAUACCGGUGAAGAUGCCGGUUACCUGCGACAGGACGGAAAGACCCCAUGGAGCUUUACUGUAGCUUGACGUUGGGUCUUGGUACUACAUGUACAGGAUAGGUGGGAGACUAUGAAGCAUGAACGCCAGUUUGUGUGGAGUCAUCCUUGGGAUACCACCCUUGUAGUACUGGGAUCCUAACCAUAGGCCAUGAAUCUGGUCUUGGGACACCGUCAGGUGGGCAGUUUGACUGGGGCGGUCGCCUCCUAAAGAGUAACGGAGGCGCUCAAAGGUUCUCUCAGUACGGUCGGAAAUCGUACGAAGAGUGUAAAGGCAAAAGAGAGCUUGAUUGCAAGACAUACAGGUCGAGCAAGGACGAAAGUCGGACUUAGUGAUCCGGUGGUACCGCAUGGAAGGGCCAUCGCUCAACGGAUAAAAGCUACCCUGGGGAUAACAGGCUUAUCUCCCCCAAGAGUCCACAUCGACGGGGAGGUUUGGCACCUGGAUGUCGGCUCAUCACAUCCUGGGGCUGUAGUAGGUCCCAAGGGUUGGGCUGUUCGCCCAUUAAAGUGGUACGCGAGCUGGGUUCAGAACGUCGUGAGACAGUUCGGUCCCUAUCCGUCGCAGGCGUAGGAAAUUUGAGGAGACCUGUCCUUAGUACGAGAGGACCGGGAUGGACGUACCUCUGGUGUACCAGUUGUUCUGCCAAGGGCAUGGCUGGGUAGCUAUGUACGGAAUGGAUAAGCGCUGAAAGCAUCUAAGCGCGAAGCCGACUUCAAGAUAAGAUUUCCCACCGUAAGGGUAAGAUCCCAGGAAGACUACCUGGUUGAUA
RNAcentral lists this ribosomal RNA (1262 nucleotides) under metagenome. RNAcentral describes it as "bacterial LSU rRNA". It matches the Rfam family "Bacterial large subunit ribosomal RNA", at positions 1584 to 2858 of the family's 2925-position model. The record is from RNAcentral.